This 403-nucleotide ribosomal RNA is filed under the name uncultured Eubacteriales bacterium. RNAcentral's name for it is "bacterial SSU rRNA". It matches the Rfam family "Bacterial small subunit ribosomal RNA", at positions 378 to 774 of the family's 1533-position model. The record is from RNAcentral. Lineage: Bacteria; Bacillati; Bacillota; Clostridia; Eubacteriales.
AAACCCUGAUGCAGCCAUGCCGCGUGUGUGAAGAAGGCCUUCGGGUUGUACAGCACUUUCAGUCAGGAGGAAGGUGGUGUAGCUAAUAUCUGCACCAAUUGACGUUACUGCCAGAAGAAGCAUCGGCUAACUCCGUGCCAGCAGCCGCGGUAAUACGUAGGGGGCUAGCGUUAUCCGGAUUUACUGGGCGUAAAGGGUGCGUAGGUGGUUUCUUAAGUCAGGAGUGAAAGGCUACGGCUCAACCGUAGUAAGCUCUUGAAACUGGGAAACUUGAGUGCAGGAGAGGAAAGUGGAAUUCCUAGUGUAGCGGUGAAAUGCGUAGAUAUUAGGAGGAACACCAGUAGCGAAGGCGGCUUUCUGGACUGUAACUGACACUGAGGCACGAAAGCGUGGGGAGCAAACA